AUAUGGAGUUGUGUAUAAGAGAACAAUACUAGUUUGCACAUUACUUCAAAAUUUAUAUAUAGUUGUUUGUGUGUGUUGCUUCUAGCCCUAUAUCAAGCAUACUUUAAAGCUUGUUGUAAGUUCAAAUAAUUGUUUUCGAACUACAUUGAUUAUCGGACUAGGUAAGGGAACUUUUGACAAAUAAAGAAUGCACAACAUUUCAAAAUCAGUUGUGUGUGCGGCUUGGUGAUGUUACUGUUGCCUGUUAACUGUAAAAUAAAAUUUGGUUUUUAAUUACAAAAAACCUCUUAGAGUUUGCCUUAAAAUACUUUUGAUCUCUGUCGUUUCAAAAUUUACUACUCCUUAUAUCAG
This 351-nucleotide unclassified non-coding RNA is filed under the name Hevea brasiliensis (rubber tree). The record is from RNAcentral. Lineage: Eukaryota; Viridiplantae; Streptophyta; Magnoliopsida; Malpighiales; Euphorbiaceae.